AACGGACGCUGGCGGCAUGCCUAACACAUGCAAGUCGAACGAGACCUUCGGGUCUAUUGGCGCACGAGUUUGUAACGCGUGGGAACCGUCCCUUAUGUUCGGAAUAACUCCCCGAAAGGGGUGCUAAUACCGGAUAAUGUCUUCUGACCAAGGAUUUAUCGCCUUUGGAUGGUCCCGCGUUGGAUUAGCUAGUUGUUAGGGUAAAAGCCUACCAAGGCGAGGAUCCAUAGCUGGUCUGAGAGGAUGAUCAGCCACACUGGGACUGAGAAACGGCCCAGAAUCCUACGCGAGGCAGCAGUGGGGAAUAUUGGACAAUGGGCGAAAGGCUGAUCCAGCAAUGACGCGUGAGUGAUGAAGGCAUUAGGGUUGUAAAGCUCUUUUAACCGGGAUGAUAAUGACAGUACCGGGAGAAUAAGCUCCGGCUAACUACGUG
RNAcentral lists this ribosomal RNA (433 nucleotides) under uncultured bacterium. RNAcentral's name for it is "partial 16S ribosomal RNA". It matches the Rfam family "Bacterial small subunit ribosomal RNA", at positions 29 to 507 of the family's 1533-position model. The record is from RNAcentral.